Molecule: long non-coding RNA, 2001 nt
Organism: Oncorhynchus tshawytscha (Chinook salmon)
Lineage: Eukaryota; Metazoa; Chordata; Actinopteri; Salmoniformes; Salmonidae
Source: Ensembl
AAGGAAAUAACCUCAUCGCUUUCUAUGCCAAAUGCGGCCCAGCCCUGCUCAACCUGUUCUCAUUAUCUUAAUUCCCAGGAAUCUUUCUUGCAAAUCAGUCCAGGGAGUUCAUUUGUUUUUCACCAUAGAUAAAGUUGUUUGUUCAUUUGUUUAGGUCGUAGCUCAAGGAGAGUUGUAUGUCCUCUCUCUCUCUGCGUUUUCAGGCUGGAAUCAUUGACAGCAGCUAGAGUCUCAGGACAUGAAUGUCCACUGAAGCGAAUGUCUUGGAGGGGUUGGUAGAACGUUGUUUUGUUGAUGAAGAGAAGAAUAAUGUCUGUAUGUGGGAUGACGGGACCAGGGCUUGGUCUGUCUGUGUUCCUGUUGGCUCUGCUUCAUCUUCAAUGCUCAGCCCUGAACAACUACACUACGCUCCCAAAUAACGUAUCAGUGGCUGUUGGCAAGCCUGCUGCCUUUCAGUGUGGUGUGUCCCCUCCUCCUAGACAACUCAACUUCACUCUCUAUGGUAGCCAUAGAAACAUAACCCUCAUCUGCCCAGGAGACCACACUGAGUAUCUGGCUGCCCAGUCAAUAAAAGGGUACUGUGAUAACACAGGUAAGGAGCUCUUUGCAAUAUGGCUUAUCAGUGGGACAUCCCGCUCUGACAACCACACACGUGUGGUAUGUGAGAGCUCAGGACGACCACUAGUGGAUGGAUACCUCUGGGUGUACGAGGACGGCAGUUACUUUGCCACCCUCAUUGGCUGCGUCAUUGGUGGUUUCUUUGGUAUCCUCAUCGUCUUUGGUCUGUCAUACACUGUGCUCAGGAGAUCUGAGAGGUUCCAGCUCUGUUUCAGGGGGAAAGAUCGUGAGGAUGACGUCACCACAAUGGUGACAAAGGAUUAAACACACACCUUGCAAUACUGUUGGAUUUACUUAUUCAACUUCUUAAAGUCGCAGUUCUACUAUUUGUCCAACAGAGAGCAGCCAUGACAGUACAGAAACUGAAGUUCAAUUAUGCUGGGAUACUACUAAAGCGUUUUUAAUAAUGUACUAUAAUUGUGCGUCUCUGACUUUUCCUCUACUCCGGAAUACUGAAGUUUAUGUUAAUUUUUUAUACUGCGCUUUAUAGCUCCAUUAAUUGUUUUACAGUUAUGCUGGCAGCCAGCUAACACCUGUUUUCACUGCAUAAACAAUAGAGAGCAGGACGUCUGAGUAGCUGUCUAAAGUGUUCCAGUGGAGGAUCAGUAGAGGUGGUGCGAUGUUGACUCAGCUGGCCUGCUAUGCUCUGGCAUGACUCUGACACGGACACAACUCACAUCACUUCAAAUCCCACAAUAUGCAUUGCUAAUUUGUUUAGAAUUACAUACAUUCUUUGAGAUGUAUUUAUAUUUUUAUGCAUGCUCCCCAUCUUCAGAGUGGCUUGUCAGAGGAUAUGGUCAAAUGCUCAAAGGCCCUUAGAUGGUUUGUUUAGUGACAAAUAUGCCUCCUAACAAGUAAGAGUACUGUACGUUUUGAGUGUUCCAGCACGAGCGUGCUUGUGUCAGUGCAUGCAGGCAUACUUACAUACCACACUUUUGUUUAAGUCUAAGCUAUGCACCGGAGUUGUGUCAGUGCAUGCAGGCAUACUUACAUACCAUACUUUUGUUUAAGUCUAAGCUAUGCACCGGAGUUGUGUCAGUGCAUGCAGGCAUACUUACAUACCAUACUUUUGUUUAAGUCUAAGCUAUGCACCGGAGUUGUGUCAGUGCAUGCAGGCAUACUUACAUACCACACUUUUGUUUAAGUCUAAGCUAUGCACCGGAGUUGUGUCAGUGCAUGCAGGCAUACUUACAUACCACACUUUUGUUUAAGUCUAAGCUAUGCACCGGAGUUGUGUCAGUGCAUGCAGGCAUACUUACAUACCACACUUUUGUUUAAGUCUAAGCUAUGCACCGGAGCUGUGUCAGUGAUGAUGCAUUCAUAUUAUAUUAAUACAGUGUGUUCCAUUUGUAUUGGGGCAGUGAAACUUGUUGUUUUGGCUCU